GACGAACGCUGGCGGCGUGCUUAACACAUGCAAGUCGAACGAUGAAGAAGAGAAACGCGAACUUCGGUUCAAAUUUCACUUCGGAUUAGUGGCAGACGGGUGAGUAACGCGUGAGCAACCUACCUCUUACAAAGGGAUAGCCUCGGGAAACCGUGAUUAAUACCAUAUGACACCUUCAUAAGGCAUCUUAAGAAUGUUAAAGCUACGGCGGUAAGAGAUGGGCUCGCGUCCCAUUAGCUAGUUGGUGAGGUAACGGCCCACCAAGGCGACGAUGGGUAACCGGCCUGAGAGGGUGAACGGUCACAUUGGAACUGAGACACGGUCCAAACUCCUACGGGAGGCAGCAGUGGGGAAUAUUGCACAAUGGAGGGAACUCUGAUGCAGCGACGCCGCGUGAGCGAUGAAGGAAUUCGUUUCGUAAAGCUCUGUUCUAUGGGAAGAAAAGGACUGUACCAUAGGAGAAAGCCCCGGCUAAAUACGUG
Molecule: ribosomal RNA, 482 nt
Filed under: uncultured bacterium
Lineage: Bacteria
Description: partial 16S ribosomal RNA
Rfam family: Bacterial small subunit ribosomal RNA
Source: RNAcentral